RNAcentral lists this small RNA (103 nucleotides) under Marmota monax (woodchuck). Lineage: Eukaryota; Metazoa; Chordata; Mammalia; Rodentia; Sciuridae. The record is from RNAcentral.
ACUGGACAUGGUGGUGCAUGCCUGUAAUCCCAGUGACUUGGGAGGCUGAGGCGGAAGGAACUCAAGUUUGAGGCCAGCCUCAGCAACUUAGACUCUGUCUCAA